GAGUUUGAUCUUGGCUCAGGAUGAACGCUAGCGACAGGCUUAACACAUGCAAGUCGAGGGGCAGCGGGGUGCAGGCUUGCCUGCACCUGCCGGCGACCGGCGCACGGGUGAGUAACACGUAUGGAACCUGCCCGCCACAGGGGGAUAACCCGGGGAAACCCGGCCUAAUACCCCAUGCCGCCCGGACCGGGCAUCCGGACCGGGCGAAAGGAGGAAUCCGGUGGCGGCUGGGCAUGCGGCGCAUUAGCUUGACGGCGGGGUAACGGCCCACCGUGGCGACGAUGCGUAGGGGUUCUGAGAGGAAGGCCCCCCACACUGGAACUGAGACACGGUCCAGACUCCUACGGGAGGCAGCAGUGAGGAAUAUUGGUCAAUGGGCGGAAGCCUGAACCAGCCAAGUCGCGUGAGGGAAUAAGGCCCUACGGGUCGUAAACCUCUUUUGCCGGGGAGCAAGGGCCGGGACGAGUCCCGGCCCGGAGAGUACCCGGAGAAAAAGCAUCGGCUAACUCCGUGCCAGCCGCCGCAGUAAG
Molecule: ribosomal RNA, 530 nt
Filed under: uncultured microorganism
Description: bacterial SSU rRNA
Rfam family: Bacterial small subunit ribosomal RNA
Source: RNAcentral